CAGUGUCUGGUGGGUAGUUUGACUGGGGCGGUCUCCUCCUAAAGAGUAACGGAGGAGCACGAAGGUUGGCUAAUCCUGGUCGGACAUCAGGAGGUUAGUGCAAUGGCAUAAGCCAGCUUGACUGCGAGCGUGACGGCGCGAGCAGGUGCGAAAGCAGGUCAUAGUGAUCCGGUGGUUCUGAAUGGAAGGGCCAUCGCUCAACGGAUAAAAGGUACUCCGGGGAUAACAGGCUGAUACCGCCCAAGAGUUCAUAUCGACGGCGGUGUUUGGCACCUCGAUGUCGGCUCAUCACAUCCUGGGGCUGAAGUAGGUCCCAAGGGUAUGGCUGUUCGCCAUUUAAAGUGGUACGCGAGCUGGGUUUAGAACGUCGUGAGACAGUUCGGUCCCUAUCUGCCGUGGGCGCUGGAGAACUGAGGGGGGCUGCUCCUAGUACGAGAGGACCGGAGUGGACGCAUCACUGGUGUUCGGGUUGUCAUGCCAAUGGCACUGCCCGGUAGCUAAAUGCGGAAGAGAUAAGUGCUGAAAGCAUCUAAGCACGAAACUUGCCCCGAGAUGAGUUCUCCCUGAG
RNAcentral lists this ribosomal RNA (568 nucleotides) under Salmonella enterica subsp. enterica serovar Anatum. Its description in RNAcentral is "partial 23S ribosomal RNA". It matches the Rfam family "Bacterial large subunit ribosomal RNA", at positions 2252 to 2819 of the family's 2925-position model. The record is from RNAcentral. RNAcentral also lists the same sequence under 1 other name. Lineage: Bacteria; Pseudomonadati; Pseudomonadota; Gammaproteobacteria; Enterobacterales; Enterobacteriaceae.